GUGGGGAAUCUUGCGCAAUGGGCGAAAGCCUGACGCAGCCAUGCCGCGUGAAUGAUGAAGGUCUUAGGAUUGUAAAAUUCUUUCACCGGGGACGAUAAUGACGGUACCCGGAGAAGAAGCUCCGGCUAACUUCGUGCCAGCAGCCGCGGUAAUACGAAGGGGGCUAGCGUUGCUCGGACUUACUGGGCGUAAAGGGCGCGUAGGCGGACAGCUUAGUCAGAGGUGAAAGCCCAGGGCUCAACCUUGGAAUUGCCUUUGAUACUGGCUGUCUUGAGUUUGGGAGAGGUGAGUGGAACUCCGAGUGUAGAGGUGAAAUUCGUAGAUAUUCGGAAGAACACCAGUGGCGAAGGCGACUCACUGGCCCAAUACUGACGCUGAGGCGCGAAAGCGUGGGGAGCAAACAGGAUUAGAAACCCCGGUAGUCC
This 425-nucleotide ribosomal RNA is filed under the name uncultured bacterium. RNAcentral's name for it is "partial 16S ribosomal RNA". It matches the Rfam family "Bacterial small subunit ribosomal RNA", at positions 354 to 796 of the family's 1533-position model. The record is from RNAcentral.